RNAcentral lists this non-coding RNA (117 nucleotides) under Homo sapiens (human). Lineage: Eukaryota; Metazoa; Chordata; Mammalia; Primates; Hominidae. The record is from Rfam by way of RNAcentral.
GCCGGGCGUGGUGGCUCAUGCCUGUAAUCCCAGCACUUUGGGAGGCUGAGGCGGGUGGAUCACCUGAGGUCAGGAGUUCAAGACCAGCCUGGCCAACAUGGUGAAACCCCAUCUCUA